CACGGGGUGCGCUGUCAUCGCGGGGCGAAUACUGGCCUUCCUUAGUAACGGCAAGCGAAUCGGGAACAACCCAGCCUUAGAAUCGGGCGGCUCCGUCGUCCGAAUUAUAGUCUAGAGAGCCGUCGUCAGUGGCGGACCGGGCCCAAGUCCCCUGGAAGGGGGCGCCAGAGAGGGUGAGAGACCCAUUGUGCCCGAACCCUGGUGCACCAUGAGACGCUGUCUACGAGUUGGGUUUUUUGGGAAUGCAGCCCAAAUCGGGUGGUGAAUUCCGUCCAAGGCUAAAUACGGGCGAGAGACCGAUAGCGAACAAGUACCGCGAGGGAAAGAUGAAAAAGACUUUGAGAAAAGAGUCAAAGAGUGCUUUAAAUUGUCGUGAGGGAAGCGGAUGGGGGCCGGCGAUGUGCCCCGAGAAGGAUGUGGAACGGCGAUGAUCCGGUCUGCCGAUCGACUCAGGGCAUGGACCAGCGCCAAUUAGGGGACGGCCAAAGCCCAGGCUCUCGAUAUGCUCGUGGAACGCCGUCUCCUCGAUUGUGGCAGGCAGCGCGCACCUUUGGUGUGAUUAGGCAUCUGCGCGCUCUGGACGCUGGCCUGUGGGCUCCCCAUUCAACUCGUCUUGAAACACGGACCAAGGAGUCUGACAUGUGUGCGAGUCAACGGGCGAGUAUACCCGUAAGGCGCAAUGAAUAUGAUUGGUGGGAUUGUCACGCCCCAAAUCCUAUUAAGGCGGACUGGCACCCGUUGCCGGUAAGGCUCGGGAGAACCAACCUGUAGCAAUACAUUACCUAUGAACAUUAUAAGUUACUUUUAUACUAAACAUGCCCUCAAAAGAUAAAUGGAACUAGCAAGCCAAAAGAUGUUGUAUGACUAGGCCGUUGGAGCCACAAUGUCUACGAUACGAUACAUGACCAUACUAUACUUUACAUAGUCUACAAAGCCUCUAGACAAGAAACAUUAUCUUAUAAGGGUCGGGACAGGCCCCGCCUCAUGAUAAGAUACUAUACAAUGCAAAAAGAUAUGAUAAGACUCAAAGCCCCGAAGCAACCUGGAGCUCAGUGACUGCAGUUGAUAUCCUGUACUCUUACUGGGGAGGUUUAUUAGCUUCUGCACCUGCAGCAUGGAAUGCAGGUCCCCCAACAGGGACGUCAGUACGAAAUAAUGUACUGAAUAUGUAAGGCAACAUGUACUUAUAUAUGAGAUAAAAGCUCAAAUGAAACCAUACACUGCUGUAAGGUAAAAGACCACCUUUAUGAAUAUUGUGGAGUCAUGCAUCUUAUAACAAUUAUGUUACUUUACUCUUAUCACUUGUAUAAUCUGUGCACAUCAUGUAAUACAAAUGACCAGCUGAUCAGUGGUAAAUCUAUAUCAGGAUCGACCCAUGCUAGGCUUUCCUUUCACCCCUGGGAUACCCCCUGUAAUACUGGGAUUGACCCAUGCUAGGUGAUUCUUUCACCCCUGGGAUACCACCCAACAGAAACAACUGUAUACAUAUAUCUUCUUAUUACUUUUGAGAUGAAUCUUUGGUGGUCGUAACAUUUGAGCUAUAAGACUAUAAGCAUGACAAAUGAGAAGUAUGUGACCAUGUAACAUCAUAUCACAAUGAAAAGAGUGGGUUAUACAAUUAGUGAAACCUGUAGGACAUAAACAACGUAUGAACUUUAUUUAGCUAAAAAGAAGACUCAUAUGUCAUGGUAUGCAAUGUAUGUAUGCAGCAGUGACAAUGCUCAAAUCUGGACACACAAAUACAUGUGAAAGAGUGGAGUAGUUAUAUCGAAGUUUGUAAAGAUCUCUAUGUGCCAAUAAAGACUUUGGAUUCCAUGCCAAAUAAUAAGAGAUCGAAUAGCCUUACAUACCUCGACAUAUCAACUUGUUUUUACCUCGAAAUGACUUCUUUUCUUCCAACUAUUUAUCUACAAUAUCAUGUUUUAAAGCUAGUAUUAGCAGCUAAUCAAUGCAUCUGGACAGCCCAAUCUCACAAAACACAACAUCUUUUGGCUUGCUAGUUCCAUUUAUCUUUUGAGGGCAUGUUUAGUAUAAAAGUAACUUAUAAUGUUCAUAGGUAAUGUAUUGCUACAGGUUGGUUCUCCCGAGCCUUACCGGCAACGGGUGCCAGUCCGCCUUAAUAGGAUUUGGGGCGUGACAGGGAUCCCCCCGAGGGGUGCACCGCCGACCAACCUUGAUCUUCUGAGAAGGGUUCAAGUGUGAGCAUACCUGUCGAGACUCGAAAGAUGGUGAACUAUGCCUGAGCGGGGCGAAUCCAGAGGAAACUCAGGUGGAGGCCCGCAGCGAUACUGACGUGCAAAUCAUUCGUCUGACUUGGGUAUAGGGGCAAAAGACUAAUCAAACCGUGUAGUAGCUGGUUCCCUCCAAAGUUUCCCUCAGGAUAGCUGGGAAAGAAGACCCUGUUGAGCUUGACUCUAGUCCGACUUUGUGAAAUGACUUGAGAGGUCUAUUAUAAGUGGGAGCAGAAAGGUGAAAGUGAAAUACCACUACUUUUAACGUUAUUUUACUUAUUCCGUGAAUCGGAAGUGGGGCACUGCCCCUCUUUUUGAACCCAAGGCUUGCUCUGCGGGCCGAUCUGGACGGAAGACAUUGUCAGGUGGGGAUUUUGGCUGGGGCAGCACAUCUGUUAAAAGAUAAUGCAGGUGUUCUAAGAUGAGCUCAAGGAGAAGAGAAAUCUCGUUUGGAACAGAAGGGUAAAAGCUCAUUUGAUUAUGACUUCCAGUACAAAUACGAACCGUGAAAGCGUGGCCUAAUGAUCCUUUAGACCUUCGGAAUUCGAAGGUAGAGGUGUCAAAAAAGUUACCACAGGGAUAACUGGCUUGUGGCAGCCAAGAGUUCAUAGCGACGUUGCUUUUUGAUCCUUCGAUGUCGGCUCUUCCUAUCAUUGUGAAGCAGAAUUCACCAAGUGUUGGAUUGUUCACCCACCAAUAGGGAACGUGAGCUGGGUUUAGACCGUCGUGAGACAGGUUAGUUUUACCCUACUGAUGACAGUGUCAUAAUAGUAAUUCAACCUAGUACGAGAGGAACCUUUGAUUCACACAAUUGGUCAUCGCGCUUGGUUGAAAAGCCAGUGGAGCAAAGCUAUCGUGUGCUGGAUUAUGAUUGAAUGCCUCUAAGUCAGAAUCCGGGCUACAAGCGACGCAUAUGCCCACCGUCAGCUUGCCGACCCACAGUAGGGGCUUUGG
This 3185-nucleotide ribosomal RNA is filed under the name Capsicum baccatum. RNAcentral describes it as "eukaryotic LSU rRNA". The stretch from base 2378 to 3185 matches the Rfam family "Eukaryotic large subunit ribosomal RNA", at positions 2391 to 3204 of the family's 3401-position model. Lineage: Eukaryota; Viridiplantae; Streptophyta; Magnoliopsida; Solanales; Solanaceae. The record is from RNAcentral.